AUAGAACAUGCCCACUAUUUUGUUUGGAUAAAUAAAUAAUUUUAGAUAUUACUAUCAUGAUUUAAAUUGAUAAAACUAAUGAAAAUAGAGGUAAAAAACUCAAACUCUCAAACUAUGCCACCAUGCCCAAACUAUGCCACCAUGCCUUUUGCCACUAAUCUACAUUAAUAAUUUUGCUAAAAAUAUGGCUAAUCUUGUAUAUAAUCAAAAAAUAGCCGCAAACAGAAGUUUUAUUAGCUUAGUCUCGUCGACGGCUUUGAUCAUACACAUAUGGAAUCAAGUACUAAUCCGAAGUGCACAAACCUCAACAUUCAUUUUUUGUCAACAAUAUGCAUUUUGUGAAUCUAAAUUCAGAUGGUAAUACAACGAAUCAACGAAAAUACUAAUACAAAUCAUUAUAUUAGUAAGUAGUGUUUUUUUAAUGUUAAAUUAUAUU
Molecule: small RNA, 436 nt
Filed under: Arabidopsis thaliana (thale cress)
Lineage: Eukaryota; Viridiplantae; Streptophyta; Magnoliopsida; Brassicales; Brassicaceae
Description: ATSL117530
Source: RNAcentral